This 358-nucleotide long non-coding RNA is filed under the name Saimiri boliviensis boliviensis (Bolivian squirrel monkey). RNAcentral's name for it is "lncRNA (ENSSBOG00000036576.1)". The record is from RNAcentral. Lineage: Eukaryota; Metazoa; Chordata; Mammalia; Primates; Cebidae.
GAAGGCAUAGGUCUGGAAUCAAUAAUUACAUUUGAUGUCAGAGAUGCCAUAAGGUAUUCAUAAGGAAGUAUGAAACCAUGGAAAGACCCCUACCCUGCCAGGUCUGAUGAUGGAACAUUUUCCCCCCGAAACUUAAAUAAGAACCAGUUCAGUCAGACUGACACCUAAUGGAAACUUUCAUAGGAAAAUAAUUCUGCAAAGGAAAGAAAGCAAUGAGGGAAAUGAUUAAGUUGGAUUCUCCAGAGAGUCACUGGUCUAUUUCCUGCCUCCAAGCAUAUCUGAAACCAAGCUACAACUACACGAAGUGUUGAAUUGCAGAAAUGUGGUCCAAUUGCUAUCUCUACUACCUGUAUUACGG